Long non-coding RNA from Onychostoma macrolepis, 1166 nucleotides. RefSeq lists it as uncharacterized. The record is from RefSeq and is a predicted model, not a curated record. NCBI's taxonomy places the organism in Eukaryota, Metazoa, Chordata, Actinopteri, Cypriniformes, Cyprinidae. The transcript has 3 exons.
UAUUGUUUCAGACAGAGGACCUCAAUUCAUCUCCAGGGUCUGGCGUGGUUUCUUCCGUCUAUUAGGAGUAUCUGUCAGCCUUUCCUCAGGUUAUCACCCACAAACCAAUGGCCAGACCGAACGUAAAAUCCAAGAGAUCGGGCGCUACCUCCGCGCCUAUUGUCAUCGACACCAAGACAGCUGGAGCCAGUAUUUGCCCUGGGCCGAGUACGCGCAGAACUCACUGCGUCAAGAAACAACCAGGCUCUCUUUCUGUUGGACAUUAAUAAAAAAGGAGUGUUACUACUUACCCAGUGUUUGUCUCUCCGGUCAGACGUGACAGCUAAAUGUUGACUAAACUAAUAAAAACAAAUCCAGCCAACACUGAGAUCAUUCUGCACGUGCACGAGCCUGAGUGACUUCGCGGGAGAAACAGUGCUGCCAUCUUGUCAAGUUCACAAGUCAGGGUGUGGCCAACGGUUUCAUUGGUGCUUUGUCAUCACUGCAAGAUUUCAGAUGCAACCCAGUCAGUUCUUCCAAGGCACCAAACACCAGACCGCUCCACUGCAACUACAUACUGUGUGUAGCUUCAAGACUAGGAGUUUAUUGUUUUCAUUCCAGGUCACCAUAGCCACCCAGAUCCAGUCCGUAUCCAGAUCAGAUGGUGGAUCAGCACCUAGAGACGACCUCUACAGCACUGAAUGUCAGCGGAGACCAUGUCAGCUAGAUGAGCUCCAGAGACAGAUCCCCAGUGAAGACCUCGUUGGCCAUCGGGACAAGACCACGAGAACCAGACAAGUCCUCUGCUCAAUCUGACCUGUGCAGGAAUUAUACCAUGCCAUGCUGGUUUCAUCUGGCCAGAGGAGAACUGCCCCUCAACUGAGCCUGGUUUCUCCCAAGGUUUUCUACUCAGUUUCUGUCACCAAUGGAGUUUUGAGUCCUUGCCGCUAUCACCUUUGGCUUGCUUAUUUGGGGACGCUUGGCUGAUUGCAUAGACACUAUUGGAAGAGAGCUGAACUAAAUGAUGAUUUCAUUGAAUCAUCAAUGAACUGACUUUAACUGGAAAAAUGACUUGUUAUUGUCCUCUUGCAUUAUUAACAAACUAUUUUCCUGUUUGACUGUAAAGCUGCUUUGACACGAUCAGUAUUGUAUAAAGUGCAUUAUAAAUAAAAGUGACUUGACUUGAU